AUACUUACCUGGCAGGGGAGAUACCAUGAUCACGAAGGUGGUUUUCCCAGGGCGAGGCUUAUCCAUUGCACUCCGGAUGUGCUGACCCCUGCGAUUUCCCCAAAUGUGGGAAACUCGACUGCAUAAUUUGUGGUAGUGGGGGGAAAAAAAAAAAAAUAAUACCUUAAUCUCCUG
This is a non-coding RNA of Myotis davidii, 174 nucleotides long. Lineage: Eukaryota; Metazoa; Chordata; Mammalia; Chiroptera; Vespertilionidae. The record is from Rfam.